GCAAAUCCGCUUUGAUAAUGCUGGGAUGUGAUGGGGAGCGAAAUUUAGUAGCGAAGUAGCUGAUUUCACACUGUCAAGAAAAGUCUCUAUCGAGGUUAAAGGUACCCGUACCGCAAACCGACACAGGAGGGUGAGGAGAGUAUCCUAAGGCCAGCGAGAGAACUGUUGUUAAGGAACUCGGCAAAAUGACCCCGUAACUUAGGGAUAAGGGGUGCCACCCUCAGGUGGCCGCAGAGAAUAGGCCCAAGCGACUGUUUACCAAAAACAUAGGUUUCUGCUAAGUCGCAAGACGAUGUAUAGGAGCUGACGCCUGCCCGGUGCUGGAAGGUUAAGGGGAUCUGUUAGAGCAAUCGAAGCAGUGAACUUAAGCCCCAGUAAACGGCGGCCGUAACUAUAACGGUCCUAAGGUAGCGAAAUUCCUUGUCGGGUAAGUUCCGACCCGCACGAAAGGCGUAACGAUUUGGGCACUGUCUCAACAACAGACUCGGUGAAAUUGUAAUUCCGGUGAAGAUGCCGGAUACCUGCGACAGGACGGAAAGACCCCAUGGAGCUUUACUGUAGCUUGACAUUGGGUCUUGGUACUACAUGUACAGGAUAGGUGGGAGGAUUUGAAACAAGGAUGCCAGUUUUAGCGGAGCCAUCCUUGGGAUACCACCCUUGUAGUACUGGGACUCUAACCAUAG
Molecule: ribosomal RNA, 683 nt
Filed under: Clostridioides difficile
Lineage: Bacteria; Bacillati; Bacillota; Clostridia; Peptostreptococcales; Peptostreptococcaceae
Description: bacterial LSU rRNA
Rfam family: Bacterial large subunit ribosomal RNA
Source: RNAcentral